GGAAUAUUGGUCAAUGGACGCAAGUCUGAACCAGCCAUGCCGCGUGAAGGAUGAAGGUCCUCUGGAUUGUAAACUUCUUUUAUCUGGGACGAAAACGGGAUUUUUAUCUCAAUUGACGGUACCAGAGGAAUAAGCACCGGCUAACUCCGUGCCAGCAGCCGCGGUAAUAUGGAGGGUGCGAGCGUUAUCCGGAUUUACUGGGUUUAAAGGGUGCGUAGGUGGGCUUAUAAGUCAGUGGUGAAAUCUCCGAGCUUAACUUGGAAACUGCCGUUUAUACUAUAGGUCGUGAAUUAUCUGGAGGUCAGCGGAAUAUGUCAUGUAGCGGUGAAAUGCUUAGAUAUGACAUAGAACACCAAUUGCGAAGGCAGCUUACUACACAAUCAUUGACGCUGAGGCACGAAAGCGUGGGGAUCAAACA
This 418-nucleotide ribosomal RNA is filed under the name uncultured bacterium. Its description in RNAcentral is "bacterial SSU rRNA". It matches the Rfam family "Bacterial small subunit ribosomal RNA", at positions 358 to 774 of the family's 1533-position model. The record is from RNAcentral.